This 253-nucleotide ribosomal RNA is filed under the name uncultured bacterium. RNAcentral's name for it is "partial 16S ribosomal RNA". It matches the Rfam family "Bacterial small subunit ribosomal RNA", at positions 524 to 776 of the family's 1533-position model. The record is from RNAcentral.
UACGGGGGGUGCGAGCGUUGUCCGGAAUCACUGGGCGUAAAGGGCGCGUAGGCGGUUUGUCGCGUCUGCCGUGAAAGUCCGGGGCUCAACUCCGGAUCUGCGGUGGGUACGGGCAGACUAGAGUGAUGUAGGGGAGACUGGAAUUCCUGGUGUAGCGGUGAAAUGCGCAGAUAUCAGGAGGAACACCGGUGGCGAAGGCGGGUCUCUGGGCCGAUACUGACGCUGAGGAGCGAAAGCGUGGGGAGCGAACAGG